CGAUUCCUACGGGGGGCAGCAGUAGGGAAUAUUGCUCAAUGGGGGAAACCCUGAAGCAGCAACGCCGCGUGGAGGAUGAAGGUUUUAGGAUUGUAAACUCCGUUUGUGAGAGAAGAUAAUGACGGUAUCUCACGAAUAAGCACCGGCUAACUCCGUGCCAGCAGCCGCGGUAAUACGGAGGGUGCAAGCGUUACUCGGAAUCACUGGGCGUAAAGAGUGCGCAGGCGGGCUUGUAAGUCAGCUGUGAAAUCCUGUAGCUUAACUAAAGAACUGCAUUUGAAACUAUGGGUCUAGAAUGUGGGAGG
This 305-nucleotide ribosomal RNA is filed under the name uncultured bacterium. RNAcentral describes it as "bacterial SSU rRNA". It matches the Rfam family "Bacterial small subunit ribosomal RNA", at positions 333 to 655 of the family's 1533-position model. The record is from RNAcentral.